RNAcentral lists this long non-coding RNA (359 nucleotides) under Dasypus novemcinctus (nine-banded armadillo). RNAcentral's name for it is "lncRNA (ENSDNOG00000051528.1)". Lineage: Eukaryota; Metazoa; Chordata; Mammalia; Cingulata; Dasypodidae. The record is from RNAcentral.
GGGGGCAAUUCUAAGUGUGUAUCAUUAUUCCCAUGUUACAGGUGAAUGAUCCAUAAACCUGGGUGUCUUCCUCAACUAGAACCUUUCGCAGGGACACCUAGAUUGAUGGCAGGGGCCAGGCUGUGCCACCACAGGGGAUGGAGGACAUACCAGCCUGGAGCAGAGCUGUUUUCCACUAUGGCAACCACGGGCCUCACGUGGGUUCUGAGAAUUCAGAAUAUGGCCAGACUGAAUUGAGAAUGUGUGAGGCACAUCGUAUUACAAAGACUCAGCAUGAAAAAAACGAAUGUAAAAUGGCUCAUUGGUAAUUUCUUAUAUUGAUUACAUGUUGAAAUGAUAGUAUUUUUGAUCUACUGGAU